AAUCAUCAACCUCAUCGUGGGGCUUGGACUUUGGAGCGUGCUGGCCCCUGAGGUCGGCUCCUCUUUAAAUGCAUCAGCGGAAAGCCAUUGAUGUUUCCCGUCAGCGUGAUAAUCCUGUUGCGCUGCUAGGUCACGUCGGGGAUCCGCUUAUAAUGGUCUUCGGACGAUAUCUA
RNAcentral lists this unclassified non-coding RNA (173 nucleotides) under uncultured Amphinema. Its description in RNAcentral is "sequence contains ITS2". The record is from RNAcentral. Lineage: Eukaryota; Fungi; Basidiomycota; Agaricomycetes; Atheliales; Atheliaceae.